Molecule: ribosomal RNA, 1352 nt
Filed under: metagenome
Description: bacterial LSU rRNA
Rfam family: Bacterial large subunit ribosomal RNA
Source: RNAcentral
UGAGUACGAGCUGCUACGGCAGCGAAGUGGGUGACGUCAAGCUUCCAAGAAAAGCCCUACACCCGUUAAGGCAUGAUGGCCUGUACCCGAAACCGACACAGGUGGGGUGGUAGAGAAUACCGAGGGGCGCGAGGUAACUCUCUCUAAGGAACUCGGCAAAAUGGCCCCGUAACUUCGGGAGAAGGGGUGCCACCGCAAGGUGGUCGCAGUGAAGAGGCCCAGGCGACUGUUUACCAAAAACACAGGUCUCCGCUAAGUCGCAAGACGAUGUAUGGGGGCUGACGCCUGCCCAGUGCCGGAAGGUUAAGGAAGCUGGUCAGCGCAAGCGAAGCUGGCGACUGAAGCCCCGGUGAACGGCGGCCGUAACUAUAACGGUCCUAAGGUAGCGAAAUUCCUUGUCGGGUAAGUUCCGACCCGCACGAAAGGCGUAACGAUCUGGGCGCUGUCUCGGAGAGAGGCUCGGCAAAAUAGAAUUGUCUGUGAAGAUGCGGACUACGUGCACCCGGACAGAAAGACCCUAUGAAGCUUUACUGUAGCUUGGUAUUGUGCCCGGGCUCUGAAUGCGCAGGAUAGGUGGGAGGCUUUGAUCCAUUGCUUGUGGGUGAUGGUGAGCCAACGGUGAGAUACCACUCUUUCAGAGCUAGGGUUCUAACGAUCACCCGUUAUCCGGGGACCGGACAGUAUCAGGUGGGCAGUUAGACUGGGGCGGUCGCCUCCUAAAAGGUAACGGAGGCGCGCAAAGGUUCCCUCAGGCUGGUUGGAAAUCAGCCGAUGAGUGUAAAGGCAGAAGGGAGCUUGACUGUGAGACCUACAAGUCGAACAGGGACGAAAGUCGGCCUUAGUGAUCCGACGGUUCUGAGUGGAAGGGCCGUCGCUCAACGGAUAAAAGUUACUCUAAGGAUAACAGGCUGAUCUCCCCCAAGAGUUCACAUCGACGGGGAGGUUUGGCACCUCGAUGUCGGCUCAUCGCAACCUGGGGCUGAAGUCGGUCCCAAGGGUUGGGCUGUUCGCCCAUUAAAGCGGUACGCGAGCUGGGUUCAGAACGUCGUGAGACAGUUCGGUCCAUAUCCGGUGCAUGCGCAGGAAUAUUGAGAGGAUUUCUCCCUAGUACGAGAGGACCGGGAGGAACGCACCUCUGGUGUACCAGUUAUCGUGCCAACGGUAAAUGCUGGGUAGCCAUGUGCGGAGUGGAUAACCGCUGAAAGCAUCUAAGUGGGAAGCCCACCUCAAGAUGAGUAUUCCCAUGGCGUUAGCCAGUAAGGUCACGGGCAGAACACCCGUUGAUAGGCUCUACGUGGAAGCCGGGUAACCGGUGAAGCGGAGGAGUACUAAUAGACCGAGGGCUUGACCAU